This is a non-coding RNA of Poecilia reticulata (guppy), 606 nucleotides long. NCBI's taxonomy places the organism in Eukaryota, Metazoa, Chordata, Actinopteri, Cyprinodontiformes, Poeciliidae. The record is from RefSeq and is a predicted model, not a curated record.
ACCACAUGAACCGAUUUCUCUCGCCGACAUUCAGAUUUCAGACAGAAAACCUGUAAACUCCUGUAUCACGGGAACUUGGAGUAAACAAACACGGUUUAUGACGCAGAAGAAACGGCGACAGUUUGAGUUUAUUUAAGCGAUAAAAGAUGCAACAAACAGAAAAGGCUUUGGGUGAAGGAGGAGCAGCGGCUGUUUGCUGCGCUCAUAUGGAGGUCAUGUGUCUCUCGGCCUGAUUGGAUGAACAUCUUUAUAACCUUUAUGUCACGUUAGUGAUGAAAGUUCACCAGCUGCGGCUCCAGCUUCCCUCCAGUUCCUCCUCAUUUCUGGUGAUGAAAUGCUGAAUUCAUGCUGUUUCCACACAUCAUCUCCGAUGUCCACCGGACUCUCUGCCGCGCCAUGUUUGGGAUUCCCCUCCGCGCUUCCUGAUUGGCUACCUGUCACGUUCUCCCUCCCACUCGGGAAAAACCCCACAGGCCACGACGACCCGACCUGCUGAACGUGACCGGAGCCGCGACGCCACACAGGAUCAUCGGUUAUCGCAGGAGACGAUCUCAGAACGUCGAACGUUCUGAGAUCAGGGGAAAAAAAAUAAAUCGUGCAGAGUGA